GUAGAAAAUUUCAUAGUUGAUUUUUUCCAGAGGCGUUAAGAAACUCCGGUUACUUUUAUGUCCAAGAUUACAUCGACUGGCAAACUAAGGUGCGCCGGAACGAAAUGAUUAUAUCUUCUGUGACGUUUAUGAGGAUCACGAAACGGCUUUAAACGAACACGUAGCAUGAUGCAUUGUCGUGUUAGCAAUGCAGCUCUAACACAUGGCUGACCAGUCUUUCCAUAUGUGUCACGGAUCUACUUUAAAUUCAUCCAUUCGCCAACACAUUCGAGAUUCCUGGACAUAUGGUAUGGACAUAUUCAAAUGUAAUUUAGUUAGAAGAACACAGGCAAAAAGAUUGAA
Molecule: unclassified non-coding RNA, 342 nt
Filed under: Bombus terrestris (buff-tailed bumblebee)
Lineage: Eukaryota; Metazoa; Arthropoda; Insecta; Hymenoptera; Apidae
Description: misc RNA ENSBTSG00005028886.1
Source: RNAcentral